Molecule: ribosomal RNA, 468 nt
Filed under: uncultured bacterium
Lineage: Bacteria
Description: partial 16S ribosomal RNA
Rfam family: Bacterial small subunit ribosomal RNA
Source: RNAcentral
GACGAACGCUGGCGGCGUGCUUAACACAUGCAAGUCGAACGGAAAGGCCCUGCUUUUGUGGGGUGCUCGAGUGGCGAACGGGUGAGUAACACGUGAGUAACCUGCCCUUGACUUUGGGAUAACUUCAGGAAACUGGGGCUAAUACCGGAUAGGAGCUCCUGCUGCAUGGUGGGGGUUGGAAAGUUUCGGCGGUUGGGGAUGGACUCGCGGCUUAUCAGCUUGUCGGUGGGGUAGUGGCUUACCAAGGCUUUGACGGGUAGCCGGCCUGAGAGGGUGACCGGCCACAUUGGGACUGAGAUACGGCCCAGACUCCUACGGGAGGCAGCAGUGGGGAAUAUUGCACAAUGGGCGGAAGCCUGAUGCAGCAACGCCGCGUGCGGGAUGACGGCCUUCGGGUUGUAAACCGCUUUCGCCUGUGACGAAGCAUGAGUGACGGUAAUGGGUAAAGAAGCACCGGCUAACUACGUG